AAGAAAGUGGCAGAGUGGUUAUGUAGUUGGCUUGAAACUAACUUACAGGGGUUCAAUUCCCUUCUUUCUCG
RNAcentral lists this transfer RNA (71 nucleotides) under Kopua minima. RNAcentral's name for it is "Aspasma minima tRNA-Ser". It matches the Rfam family "tRNA". Rfam says of the family: Transfer RNA (tRNA) molecules are approximately 80 nucleotides in length. Their secondary structure includes four short double-helical elements and three loops (D, anti-codon, and T loops). The record is from RNAcentral. Lineage: Eukaryota; Metazoa; Chordata; Actinopteri; Blenniiformes; Gobiesocidae.